This 218-nucleotide long non-coding RNA is filed under the name Monodelphis domestica (gray short-tailed opossum). RNAcentral describes it as "lncRNA (ENSMODG00000035260.2)". Lineage: Eukaryota; Metazoa; Chordata; Mammalia; Didelphimorphia; Didelphidae. The record is from RNAcentral.
CUAAACAAGGGGAAGAAACAAAACCACUAGAGGAAACAAAAAAAAAAGUUCUGCUACUUAAAUGGGCUCCAGACACAGUGACCAACAAGGUCAGCAGGAGUUUUAAAAUGGGUAAGUACAGGUGGAUAUUACAUUAUCACCCUUCCAACAGCAACUAUGAAGAUAUGAAACAGGCAAAAUGAAAUGAAGACUUAUUGGAGGAAGCUACUAAUAGAAUU